UAAGGAAUAUUGGUCAAUGGAGGCAACUCUGAACCAGCCAUGCCGCGUGCAGGAAGACUGCCCUAUGGGUUGUAAACUGCUUUUAUCCGGGAAUAAACCUUUCUACGUGUAGAGAGCUGAAUGUACCGGAAGAAUAAGGAUCGGCUAACUCCGUGCCAGCAGCCGCGGUAAUACGGAGGAUCCAAGCGUUAUCCGGAUUUAUUGGGUUUAAAGGGUGCGUAGGCGGCCUGUUAAGUCAGAGGUGAAAGACGGUAGCUCAACUAUCGCAGUGCCUUUGAUACUGAUGGGCUUGAAUGAACUAGAGGUAGGCGGAAUGAGACAAGUAGCGGUGAAAUGCAUAGAUAUGUCUCAGAACACCGAUUGCGAAGGCAGCUUACUAUGGUUUAAUUGACGCUGAGGCACGAAAGCGUGGGGAUCAAACAGGAUUAGAUACCCCCGUAGUCC
Molecule: ribosomal RNA, 444 nt
Filed under: uncultured bacterium
Lineage: Bacteria
Description: bacterial SSU rRNA
Rfam family: Bacterial small subunit ribosomal RNA
Source: RNAcentral